CUGUGAGCUCGAUGAGUAGGGCGGGACACGUGGUAUCCUGUCUGAAUAUGGGGGGACCAUCCUCCAAGGCUAAAUACUCCUGACUGACCGAUAGUGAACCAGUACCGUGAGGGAAAGGCGAAAAGAACCCCGGCGAGGGGAGUGAAAAAGAACCUGAAACCGUGUACGUACAAGCAGUGGGAGCACAGAGCAAUCUGUGUGACUGCGUACCUUUUGUAUAAUGGGUCAGCGACUUAUAUUCUGUAGCAAGGUUAACCGAAUAGGGGAGCCGAAGGGAAACCGAGUCUUAACUGGGCGUUAAGUUGCAGGGUAUAGACCCGAAACCCGGUGAUCUAGCCAUGGGCAGGUUGAAGGUUGGGUAACACUAACUGGAGGACCGAACCGACUAAUGUUGAAAAAUUAGCGGAUGACUUGUGGCUGGGGGUGAAAGGCCAAUCAAACCGGGAGAUAGCUGGUUCUCCCCGAAAGCUAUUUAGGUAGCGCCUCGUGAAUUCAUCUCCGGGGGUAGAGCACUGUUUCGGCAAGGGGGUCAUCCCGACUUACCAACCCGAUGCAAACUGCGAAUACCGGAGAAUGUUAUCACGGGAGACACACGGCGGGUGCUAACGUCCGUCGUGAAGAGGGAAACAACCCAGACCGCCAGCUAAGGUCCCAAAGUCAUGGUUAAGUGGGAAACGAUGUGGGAAGGCCCAGACAGCCAGGAUGUUGGCUUAGAAGCAGCCAUCAUUUAAAGAAAGCGUAAUAGCUCACUGGUCGAGUCGGCCUGCGCGGAAGAUGUAACGGGGCUAAACCAUGCACCGAAGCUGCGGCAGCGACACUGUGUGUUGUUGGGUAGGGGAGCGUUCUGUAAGCCUGUGAAGGUGUGCUGUGAGGCAUGCUGGAGGUAUCAGAAGUGCGAAUGCUGACAUAAGUAACGAUAAAGCGGGUGAAAAGCCCGCUCGCCGGAAGACCAAGGGUUCCUGUCCAACGUUAAUCGGGGCAGGGUGAGUCGACCCCUAAGGCGAGGCCGAAAGGCGUAGUCGAUGGGAAACAGGUUAAUAUUCCUGUACUUGGUGUUACUGCGAAGGGGGGACGGAGAAGGCUAUGUUGGCCGGGCGACGGUUGUCCCGGUUUAAGCGUGUAGGCUGGUUUUCCAGGCAAAUCCGGAAAAUCAAGGCUGAGGCGUGAUGACGAGGCACUACGGUGCUGAAGCAACAAAUGCCCUGCUUCCAGGAAAAGCCUCUAAGCAUCAGGUAACAUCAAAUCGUACCCCAAACCGACACAGGUGGUCAGGUAGAGAAUACCAAGGCGCUUGAGAGAACUCGGGUGAAGGAACUAGGCAAAAUGGUGCCGUAACUUCGGGAGAAGGCACGCUGAUAUGUAGGUGAAGUCCCUCGCGGAUGGAGCUGAAAUCAGUCGAAGAUACCAGCUGGCUGCAACUGUUUAUUAAAAACACAGCACUGUGCAAACACGAAAGUGGACGUAUACGGUGUGACGCCUGCCCGGUGCCGGAAGGUUAAUUGAUGGGGUCAGCGCAAGCGAAGCUCUUGAUCGAAGCCCCGGUAAACGGCGGCCGUAACUAUAACGGUCCUAAGGUAGCGAAAUUCCUUGUCGGGUAAGUUCCGACCUGCACGAAUGGCGUAAUGAUGGCCAGGCUGUCUCCACCCGAGACUCAGUGAAAUUGAACUCGCUGUGAAGAUGCAGUGUACCCGCGGCAAGACGGAAAGACCCCGUGAACCUUUACUAUAGCUUGACACUGAACAUUGAGCCUUGAUGUGUAGGAUAGGUGGGAGGCUUUGAAGUGUGGACGCCAGUCUGCAUGGAGCCGACCUUGAAAUACCACCCUUUAAUGUUUGAUGUUCUAACGUGGACCCGUGAUCCGGGUUGCGGACAGUGUCUGGUGGGUAGUUUGACUGGGGCGGUCUCCUCCUAAAGAGUAACGGAGGAGCACGAAGGUUGGCUAAUCCUGGUCGGACAUCAGGAGGUUAGUGCAAUGGCAUAAGCCAGCUUGACUGCGAGCGUGACGGCGCGAGCAGGUGCGAAAGCAGGUCAUAGUGAUCCGGUGGUUCUGAAUGGAAGGGCCAUCGCUCAACGGAUAAAAGGUACUCCGGGGAUAACAGGCUGAUACCGCCCAAGAGUUCAUAUCGACGGCGGUGUUUGGCACCUCGAUGUCGGCUCAUCACAUCCUGGGGCUGAAGUAGGUCCCAAGGGUAUGGCUGUUCGCCAUUUAAAGUGGUACGCGAGCUGGGUUUAGAACGUCGUGAGACAGUUCGGUCCCUAUCUGCCGUGGGCGCUGGAGAACUGAGGGGGGCUGCUCCUAGUACGAGAGGACCGGAGUGGACGCAUCACUGGUGUUCGGGUUGUCAUGCCAAUGGCACUGCCCGGUAGCUAAAUGCGGAAGAGAUAAGUGCUGAAAGCAUCUAAGCACGAAACUUGCCCCGAGAUGAGUUCUCCCUGACCCUUUAAGGGUCCUGAAGGAACGUUGAAGACGACGACGUUGAUAGGCCGGGUGUGUAAGCGCAGCGAUGCGUUGAGCUAACCGGUACUAAUGAACCGU
RNAcentral lists this ribosomal RNA (2536 nucleotides) under Escherichia coli. RNAcentral's name for it is "partial 23S ribosomal RNA". It matches the Rfam family "Bacterial large subunit ribosomal RNA", at positions 397 to 2912 of the family's 2925-position model. Lineage: Bacteria; Pseudomonadati; Pseudomonadota; Gammaproteobacteria; Enterobacterales; Enterobacteriaceae. The record is from RNAcentral.